GCCAAGAUAGCUCAGGUGGUAGAGCAUCAGACUUUUAACCUGAGGGUCCAGGGUUCAAGUCCCUGUUUGGGCG
Molecule: transfer RNA, 73 nt
Filed under: Gorilla gorilla gorilla (western lowland gorilla)
Lineage: Eukaryota; Metazoa; Chordata; Mammalia; Primates; Hominidae
Rfam family: tRNA
About the family: Transfer RNA (tRNA) molecules are approximately 80 nucleotides in length. Their secondary structure includes four short double-helical elements and three loops (D, anti-codon, and T loops).
Source: Rfam by way of RNAcentral